CCUACGGGAGGCAGCAGUGGGGAAUAUUGCACAAUGGGGGAAACCCUGAUGCAGCGACGCCGCGUGAGUGAUGAAGGACUUCGGUAUGUAAAGCUCUAUCAGCAGGGAAGAAAAUGCCGGUACCUGAGUAAGAAUCCCCGGCUAAAUACGUGCCAGCAGCCGCGGUAAUACGUAGGGGGCAAGCGUUAUCCGGAUUUACUGGGGGUAAAGGGAGCGUAGACGGCAGUGCAAGUCUGGAGUGAAAGGCGGGGGCUCAACCACCGCACUGCUCUGGAAACUGGACGGCUGGAGUGCAGGAGAGGUAAGUGGAAUUCCUAGUGUAGCGGUGAAAUGCGUAGAUAUUAGGAGGAACACCAGUGGCGAAGGCGGCUUACUGGACUGUAACUGACGUUGAGGCGCGAAAGCGUGGGGAGCAAACAGGAUUAGAUACCCCAGUAGUC
Molecule: ribosomal RNA, 440 nt
Filed under: uncultured bacterium
Lineage: Bacteria
Description: partial 16S ribosomal RNA
Rfam family: Bacterial small subunit ribosomal RNA
Source: RNAcentral